This 1203-nucleotide long non-coding RNA is filed under the name Macaca mulatta (Rhesus monkey). RNAcentral's name for it is "lncRNA (ENSMMUG00000061889.1)". The record is from RNAcentral. Lineage: Eukaryota; Metazoa; Chordata; Mammalia; Primates; Cercopithecidae.
AAUUUUACUCUUUUUAGUGUAGUAUACACUUCUAUAUGUUUUGAUACAUAUGUCCAAAUAUGUAAUUACCACCACAAGUAAGAUAUAGAACAGAUUUGUUACCCCAAAAAGUCGCUACUAGGAUCUUGAUAUUUGACAUACAUAUACUAGGCUCUAGACAAUGGAAAGCCUAGCCUUGAAUCGCAAGAGUGCUUUGUCUGCCAUUCUGCAGUGUUACUUCCUGCUUGAAGCAAUCAAUGCCUGAGAACUGAGGGGGAGAUGGUGGCAGAGAGCUACGAAAUUCACAAGCAGGAAUCUCAGUUAAUAUGCAGCCACCCUUGCCCGCCCCCGGUAAAAGUCCUAGGGCCUAGCCAAAGCUAGAUCCAUGAGAAAUAUUGGUCAUCUAGUGAGUAAAUAAACGAAUAAAUGAAACAACUUACGUAGGAAGGUAGAUAAGUGAUUGUUCUCUUCUCCAUCCUUUCUGAGUGCCAGGAGUUACCAAGGAGGCUUCAGGGUUGGGCUUUAGCCCUGUUCCUUUGGUCUCCGAUGUUGGGUGAGAUGCGGAUUGAUUUCAGCCCCAGGAGCAAGGUGUCCUGCAUUCCCAUCUCGGAUAUUGCUCAAUACAGCCUCAUAGGCUCUUCUGGGUUGUGUGAGUGUCUCCUUAUGGGAUAUCUGAGCUCUUGUUUGCCAUCAUUCACCCAGUGAACCAGCAGCUCAUCGCUUUUUCUCCCCAUGAGAAGAAUGAAUUCACUUGGAUUGUUAAGUAUAAAAGUGUUAGGGAAAGACUCUUUUAAACUGCUAACUGUAAGGCUUAACCUCCCUGGUAAUGGAGAUCAGUGCUCCUUUCUACUUUCUUUACAGCCCAAGGAUCUUCAGUAACUAUGGCUCCCAGGAUGAUCAAAGAAGUCUUGCUGUGUCCAGAUCACAUAAAUAUUGAAUAAGGCUGCUUGGAAUCCUUAAAAGAGUUUGGAGAGGAGGAGGAGUCCAGUGCAGAAGAUGGUAUCAGAAAAUGCUGACCCUCAGCUAAGAGCUAAUACAAAAGUCAGCAACAAAGGAAUGAGAAUGGAUCCUAUCAGGCAUGGCUUCUAUUUUCGGCUUGGAAUUUGCACACGCAUUGCUUUUAAGUCUUUUUUUCAGAAUAGCUCUUCUGUAGCUCAACUGCCCGGGGAGCCCAGCAUCCAGCUUUAUGACUCACAAACCAUCUCCAGUGAUCUCAAGUGUUAA